Molecule: small nucleolar RNA, 107 nt
Filed under: Capsicum annuum
Lineage: Eukaryota; Viridiplantae; Streptophyta; Magnoliopsida; Solanales; Solanaceae
Description: Plant small nucleolar RNA R71
Rfam family: Plant small nucleolar RNA R71
About the family: R71 is a member of the C/D box family of snoRNAs containing the C (UGAUGA) and D (CUGA) box motifs.
Source: Rfam by way of RNAcentral
UGAUGAUGGUGAGGGCAAUUUCUGAGCAUACUCUUAAAUCUCUCCUAAGCUUGGUAGAAAUUCUCUUUUUCUUUCUAUGUGAAACUUAGAAUCUCACUUCGUAAUCG